CGGGAUGUAGCGCAGCCUGGUUAGCGCGUUUGUCUGGGGGACAAAAGGUCGUGAGUUCGAUUCUCAUCAUCCCGACCA
This 78-nucleotide transfer RNA is filed under the name Lentisphaeria bacterium. RNAcentral describes it as "tRNA-Pro". It matches the Rfam family "tRNA". Rfam says of the family: Transfer RNA (tRNA) molecules are approximately 80 nucleotides in length. Their secondary structure includes four short double-helical elements and three loops (D, anti-codon, and T loops). Lineage: Bacteria; Pseudomonadati; Lentisphaerota; Lentisphaeria. The record is from RNAcentral.